RNAcentral lists this ribosomal RNA (1241 nucleotides) under metagenome. RNAcentral's name for it is "bacterial LSU rRNA". It matches the Rfam family "Bacterial large subunit ribosomal RNA", at positions 1564 to 2815 of the family's 2925-position model. The record is from RNAcentral.
UGAAUACGAGACGCUAAGGCGUCGAAGUAGUGUAUGUCAUACUUCCAAGAAAAGCUUGCACUGUCAUAGAUAAAAAACGCCUGUACCAUAACCGACACAGGUGGGUAGGUAGAGUAUACUAAGGGGCGCGAGAUAACUCUCUCUAAGGAACUCGGCAAAAUAACUCCGUAACUUCGGGAGAAGGAGUGCCUUAUUUAUAAGGCUGCAAUAACAAGAUCCAAGCAACUGUUUAUCAAAAACACAGGUCUCCGCUAAGUCGUAAGACGAUGUAUGGGGGCUGACGCCUGCCCAGUGCCAGAAGGUUAAAGAAGUUGGUUAGCUUUUGCGAAGCUGAUAACUGAAGCCCUGGUGAACGGCGGCCGUAACAAUAACGGUCCUAAGGUAGCGAAAUUCCUUGUCGGGUAAGUUCCGACCCGCACGAAAGGCGUAAUGAUUUGGAUACUGUCUCGGAGAGGGGCUCGGUGAAAUAGACUUGUCUGUGAAGAUGCGGACUACCUGCACCAGGACAGAAAGACCCUAUGAAGCUUUACUGUAACCUGAAAUUGAAAUUGGACUUUAUUCGCGCAGCAUAGGUGGGAGGCGUUGAUUAUAAUCUCGUGGGAUUAUUGGAGCCAUCAGUGAGAUACCACUCUUGUAAUGUUAGAUUUCUAACUUUGAAUCAUUAUCUGGUCAAAGAACAGUUUCAGGCGGGCAGUUUGACUGGGGCGGUCGCCUCCUAAACGGUAACGGAGGCGUACAAAGGUUUCCUCUGAACGGUUAGAAAUCGUAUCUAGAGUGUAAAGGCAUAAGGAAGCUUGACUGUGAGACCUACAAGUCGAGCAGGGACGAAAGUCGGUCUUAGUGAUCUGACGGUACUGAGUGGAAAGGCCGUCACUCAACGUAUAAAAGUUACUCUAGGAUAACAGGCUGAUCUCCCCCAAGAGUUCACAUCGACGGGGAGGUUUGGCACCUCGAUGUCGGCUCAUCGCAUCCUGGGGCGGUAGUACGUCCCAAGGGUUGGGCUGUUCGCCCAUGAAAGCGGUACGCGAGCUGGGUUCAGAACGUCGUGAGACAGUUCGGUCCAUAUCCGGUGUAGGCGUUAGAAUAUUGAGAGGAGCCUUCUUUAGUACGAGAGGACCGAGAAGGACAUACCUCUGGUGUACCAGUUAUCGUGCCAACGGUAAACGCUGGGUAGCUAUGUAUGGAGUGGAUAACCGCUGAAAGCAUCUAAGUGGGAAGCCCACCUCAAGAUAAGUAUUCUC